This 66-nucleotide transfer RNA is filed under the name Octomeria grandiflora. RNAcentral describes it as "partial tRNA-Gln". Lineage: Eukaryota; Viridiplantae; Streptophyta; Magnoliopsida; Asparagales; Orchidaceae. The record is from RNAcentral.
GGGGGCCCAAGGAAGGCAACGGGUUUUGGUCCCGUUACUUGGGGGUUUGAAUCCUUCCGUCCCAGA